UCUACCCUGCGCGUGCGCACUGGCUCUGGGGUGCCUAGCUUCACUCCUGGUGCCACCCGAUGGCGCCCUGGCCUAUGAGGUCCAAAUGCAGCAGUCUCCCGAGCCCAGAGUGGCCAAUUGGUUUACAAACUUCGGCUACAUCAACAAGUACUUGGAGAAGUUCUUCACCAGCAGUUCGAAGAAAUCCCAAAACCACAAGAACCCCUCCAACUCUACCAAAUCUACCCCACCGAGCACCAUAGUACAUCCCCACUUGAACGCCAUGAACUCCACCACCAUAAAACACCAGCGACCCCCAAGCCCUGGAACUCCUCCGGCUCCAGCUAUAAGCCUCCUCCCCUGACUCCAGACUGGACCUUGACCUCCAGAGGCCUGUCCCGGAUCUGACUAGCCACGGACCCCUUUAGGUGGUGAGAUGGCCAUCUAUUCCUCCCUAUCCACGCAGCACGGACAACAAAGAGAAAUAGUGGACCUGACGAGAUGGCUCAGGGGGUAAAGGCACUUGUCGCAAAGCCUGUCGGCCAGAGUUCCAUUCCCGAGCUCAUAAGAUGGAAGAAAGGACACCUGUACCAUGGCUCACAUAUACACACACG
Molecule: long non-coding RNA, 593 nt
Filed under: Cricetulus griseus (Chinese hamster)
Lineage: Eukaryota; Metazoa; Chordata; Mammalia; Rodentia; Cricetidae
Description: lncRNA (ENSCGRG00015030697.1)
Source: RNAcentral